AGGGAGACCUAAUUCGGGUAGGAGACGAAAAAAAAGUAGUCCCUACCAAGAAUCAAUCCCAAAAGGUCGGAACGAGGUAUGUGGCUUUCAAACUAGGUUCUGGGUUCAUAAAAGACCUGAAUCAGGAACAAGGGCUAUUAGCUCAGGUGGUUAGAGCGCACCCCUGAUAAGGGUGAGGUCCCUGGUUCGAGUCCAGGAUGGCCCACCUGCACAGGUGGCAAAAACAAGAGAAACGAGGAAUCAGCACCUUAUCUUACUCAUAUAGUAGGAGAGAAUGCUGGCUCUGAGUACAGAGUCCAGAGGAACCUUGAAAACUGCAUAGAGCUAGGUGAAAAAGCCAAAAAAGAAGACCGCAA
Molecule: transfer RNA, 356 nt
Filed under: uncultured Microcystis sp.
Lineage: Bacteria; Bacillati; Cyanobacteriota; Cyanophyceae; Chroococcales; Microcystaceae
Description: partial 16S-23S ribosomal RNA intergenic spacer
Rfam family: tRNA (bases 132-205)
Source: RNAcentral